This is a long non-coding RNA of Vidua chalybeata, 1838 nucleotides long. RefSeq lists it as uncharacterized. NCBI's taxonomy places the organism in Eukaryota, Metazoa, Chordata, Aves, Passeriformes, Viduidae. The transcript has 5 exons. The record is from RefSeq and is a predicted model, not a curated record.
UUUUCGUUUGUGAAAAAGGAGGCUAGAAAUAUCCACGUCUGCUCCUCUUGGAAGGCAACCCUGGCGCUUGCUCCGAACACCCCCCCAGCCCUCCUGUGCGCGGGGAUAAUUAAUCCAUUACGGGAUGGAUCCUGCCGUGCUGCCGUAAAAAAGAGAUCUAUUUCUCCUCUGCUUUCCCCUCCUCCCCGAAGAGACAUCUGAAACGGAUCAUGUAAUAAACGUUUCUUGGAUGGAAGGAGAGGUAUUGUUCUCUUGCCGUGGAAACAAUCCCGGCAGUGGGGCCAGCCAGGAGGGAGCGGGGCCGGAUACUUCACUCGGCAGCUCUUAUGACAUCCUGUAUGGCAGGGCGGCCUCCGGGGGACACGUUUUGUGAUGUGCCCUCUGCAAACAGCGCUCAGGAGGGCAGGGUGAGCUGGUUCUGACCAAGGGGGACAAGCCCAGGCUGCCAAGUCUGUGGGGGCUGGAGGUGGCUUCCCUCUGUGGAGACAUCCAGGCACUGCCUGGCAGGCAACGGGACGCUCUGGAGACAGGGAAGUGGCCCAGAGUCCAUCACGACACACCCAAAAGAACACCUCUGACCACACCCUUCCAACCCUGCAUCACAACACACCCAAAAGAACACCUCUGACCACACCCUUCCAACCCUGCAUCACAACACACCCAAAAGAACACCUCUGACCACACCCUUCCAACCCUGCAUCCAUCCCUCUCUGUCAGCCCAGGCUGGGAGCAGCUGCCUUGCACGGCUCCAGGCAGAGAUCAGCCUUUCCACAGGCACCUCUCCUUCGGUUUGACGCUUCCUUUUUGCCCAAGGGACCUGGAAACAAGCUGCACUGGACUCACAGUGUCCAGCUUGAAUAGAACAGAUCCUCCUUCACCAAGUGUUUUUCAUUCCUGGCCAGCCAUGCUCGCUAUCCAAGGGAGGAGCUGCUGACAUUUAUUCCUGAAUUGCCACAUUGCAGGAGCUUUGGCUAACACUUCUGUUACAUGGGAAGAGAGAAGGGACCUUGUUACUUGAGUUUCUGGUCAGUACUUGGAACUGUGAAAACCCCCCUGGGCUCUGCUGUACAACAGCAAAAGCUUUUUCCACUGCAUCAGCAGCAUUUCAAAAUCCUGUGAGCUGAUCUUAGGGCAGCAGAGUGACUUCUCUGUCUAUCAAAGACACAAGGAUGUCACGACACCUGUGUGUUUUCAUCACAACACCCCUCAAACGGACAUCCAGACUACAGGGGUUAAAAUCACCUUUCCUCAGAGAGGAAACACUCGAAGUGAUCCACUUCCAGGACAAAAGUUGUCAGAGCCACCCAAAGCAGCUCUUGACAGCCCGAGCCUUCCCCAGGGCCAGACCAGAGCAUCUGUCCCAGCUGGGCUCAGGGUGACUAAGCUGGAUGGAAGGGACAACAUCAACCUUGCAGCUUCCCUUCCCUCUGCUGACCAGGGACAGGACCCCAGAGAACAGCUGGAGCUGUGUCAGCUGGAAUUCUAAAUCAACAUACAAACAGAGAUCCACCCUGCCAAGAACCAGGACUCCUUCUCUGGGCAAAGAGGAACAGCAGGGCCGAGCUCCCCUCUCCAAGCACUGCCCACUGGGAGCAGCCUGCUCCUCCUCUGCCUCACCAAGGGACAGACCUGAGCAGGGAUGUUGAUGGAAAUCCCUCCUCACAACAGCAAGGGCAGGUUUAAAGUGAUUGGAUUAAACUGCAUUAACCUCUGUGUGGACACAGUCACUCCAGAUUUAAGUGGCCAUUGCUCAGUUUAACAGGAGCCACUUCAAUGUGACCUAAUUCACCACCUGAGUAAAUAAGGCAAACCAAAUAAAGGUCAAUGACUGUGAAGAA